GAUGAACGCUGGCGGCGUGCCUAAUACAUGCAAGUCGAGCGAACAGACGAGGAGCUUGCUCCUCUGACGUUAGCGGCGGACGGGUGAGUAACACGUGGAUAACCUACCUAUAAGACUGGGAUAACUUCGGGAAACCGGAGCUAAUACCGGAUAAUAUAUUGAACCGCAUGGUUCAAUAGUGAAAGACGGUUUUGCUGUCACUUAUAGAUGGAUCCGCGCCGCAUUAGCUAGUUGGUAAGGUAACGGCUUACCAAGGCAACGAUGCGUAGCCGACCUGAGAGGGUGAUCGGCCACACUGGAACUGAGACACGGUCCAGACUCCUACGGGAGGCGGCAGUAGGGAAUCUUCCGCAAUGGGCGAAAGCCUGACGGAGCAACGCCGCGUGAGUGAUGAAGGUCUUCGGAUCGUAAAACUCUGUUAUUAGGGAAGAACAAAUGUGUAAGUAACUAUGCACGUCUUGACGGUACCUAAUCAGAAAGCCACGGCUAACUACGU
RNAcentral lists this ribosomal RNA (496 nucleotides) under uncultured bacterium. RNAcentral's name for it is "partial 16S ribosomal RNA". It matches the Rfam family "Bacterial small subunit ribosomal RNA", at positions 28 to 506 of the family's 1533-position model. The record is from RNAcentral.